CCAUGUGGCUAAGUCUGCAGCAACACCACCUCCAGUUCAGACUAAGUACUCCACCUGAAGCUAAACUUGUUUGGGCCUGGCCAGCACUUGGAUGAAAGACCAACUGGGAAAGCUGGGUUCCUCCUGUA
Molecule: ribosomal RNA, 128 nt
Filed under: Paramormyrops kingsleyae
Lineage: Eukaryota; Metazoa; Chordata; Actinopteri; Osteoglossiformes; Mormyridae
Source: RNAcentral